CACGGGUGCUUGCACCUGGUGGCGAGUGGCGAACGGGUGAGUAAUGCACCGGAACGUACCCAGUAAUGGGGGAUAACGCACCGAAAGGUGUGCUAAUACCGCAUACGCCCUGAGGGGGAAAGCGGGGGAUCGUAAGACCUCGCGUUAUUGGAGCGGCCGAUGCCGGAUUAGCUAGUUGGUGGGGUAAAGGCCUACCAAGGCGACGAUCCGUAGCUGGUCUGAGAGGACGACCAGCCACACUGGGACUGAGACACGGCCCAGACUCCUACGGGAGGCAGCAGUGGGGAAUUUUGGACAAUGGGCGAAAGCCUGAUCCAGCCAUGCCGCGUGAGUGAAGAAGGCCUUCGGGUUGUAAAGCUCUUUCGCAAGGAAAGAAAGCUUACCUACUAAUACUAGGUGAGGAUGACGGUACCUUGAUAAGAAGCACCGGCUAACUACGUGCCAGCAGCCGCGGUAAUACGUAGGGUGCGAGCGUUAAUCGGAAUUACUGGGCGUAAAGCGUGCGCAGGCGGUUCGAUAAGUCUGAUGUGAAAUCCCCGGGCUCAACCUGGGAACUGCGUUGGAAACUGUCGAGCUAGAGUGUAGAAGAGGGGGGUAGAA
This 600-nucleotide ribosomal RNA is filed under the name uncultured bacterium. RNAcentral's name for it is "bacterial SSU rRNA". It matches the Rfam family "Bacterial small subunit ribosomal RNA", at positions 71 to 666 of the family's 1533-position model. The record is from RNAcentral.